Molecule: non-coding RNA, 23 nt
Filed under: Arabidopsis thaliana (thale cress)
Lineage: Eukaryota; Viridiplantae; Streptophyta; Magnoliopsida; Brassicales; Brassicaceae
Source: RNAcentral
GACCACAAGUUUUCACUCGACCU